RNAcentral lists this transfer RNA (75 nucleotides) under Sodalis-like symbiont of Philaenus spumarius. RNAcentral describes it as "tRNA-Ser". The stretch from base 7 to 66 matches the Rfam family "tRNA", at positions 7 to 64 of the family's 71-position model. From Rfam's summary of the family: Transfer RNA (tRNA) molecules are approximately 80 nucleotides in length. Their secondary structure includes four short double-helical elements and three loops (D, anti-codon, and T loops). The record is from RNAcentral. Lineage: Bacteria; Pseudomonadati; Pseudomonadota; Gammaproteobacteria; Enterobacterales; Bruguierivoracaceae.
AUCAGAAUGGCUCAGUUGGUAGAGCGUUACCACGGAAUGGUAAAGGUCCUAGGUUCGAAUCCCGAUCUAGUUCCA